Molecule: ribosomal RNA, 206 nt
Filed under: uncultured Eubacteriales bacterium
Lineage: Bacteria; Bacillati; Bacillota; Clostridia; Eubacteriales
Description: uncultured Clostridiales bacterium partial 16S ribosomal RNA
Rfam family: Bacterial small subunit ribosomal RNA
Source: RNAcentral
UGAGUAGGCGGUAAUGUGUGUCAGAUGUAAAAGGCGUAGGCUUAACUUACGUAAGCAUUUGAAACUGCAUUACUUGAGUGCAGGAGGGGUAAGUGGAAUUCCUAGUGUAGCGGUGAAAUGCGUAGAUAUUAGGAGGAACACCAGUGGCGAAGGCGACUUACUGGACUGUAACUGACGCUGAGUCACGAAAGCGUGGGUAGCAAACA